AUGGCGACCUCGCCGGCGCUGCUCUCGCGGCAGUACGCGCGCCCCUCCCAUCCUCUCCCCCGCCAGCUCCUCGCGCCUUCGCCCGUCGCCGUCGCAGCCUCCCCUGCGGUGCGGCUGCGCGUCCGCCGCGGGCCUACCCCGGCCCAAGCCAAGUUCGGCAAGUUCGACGCCGCCGACGCUCCCACGGAGGCCGGGCCGACUGCGCCGGCGACAUCGGAGGCCGACGGCGCGGCGGGGAAGGCGGUGCUGGAGGACGACAGUUGCCUGCCGUCGGAUCUGGAGGGCGCGAUAUGGCAGUCGGGGAAGGCGAGCGCCGAUUUCGUCAACUCCGGCGGCAUGCGAGGAAUUGCAGAGCUGCUGAUCCCUCAGUUGGAGUUCCUCAACCAGGAAGGAGCGCAGGCUGAGGUCUGGGCGCUGUCGAGGAUACUCCUCGACACACUCGCGGAAGAGACCGGCCAGGUAGUUAAGGCCGUCUUCCCUGACGCUGGAGUGGCUGCCCUUCUCAAGCACCAGUGGAAAGAUGCAAAGUUCAAGUGUGCUAGUCUUAGCGACCGAAAGCCAGUUGAUACUGAUGACGGAGUUGUUGUUAUGAUUAUCCCUGACCACCAGAUGCUUGAAUCUGUUGAACGCAUCGCAUCUCAACUCGCUGAUGAUCCCAUAAGACCUCUUGUCAUGUGGAACCCACGUCUUGUUAGUGGAGAUGUUGGAGUGGGAUAUAAUGUUCGGAAUCUACGCAGAAAUUUCUUAAGUACUUUUACCACUGUUUACUCGAUGAGGCCGCUGCCUACCGGUGCAAUCUUCAGAUGCUAUCCUGAAAAGUGGAAAGUGUUUUAUGAUGAUCCAAAAAGACCCAACCGGUAUUUGCUUGCCAGAGAAUCUUCAAGUCGUCCUGAUGCAACAGAUAUUGAGAUAAUAUUUGGCGGUGGCGGCGCCAGCGAGCAACCUGAAGAGGAGCCUUCGAUGAUGACCAAUGUCAUGGCCGCGUUUAGCUCCGUGAGCCGGUUUAUGAGGGUCAUCUCCAAGUGA
RNAcentral lists this ribosomal RNA (1026 nucleotides) under Triticum aestivum (bread wheat). RNAcentral describes it as "partial small subunit ribosomal RNA". Lineage: Eukaryota; Viridiplantae; Streptophyta; Magnoliopsida; Poales; Poaceae. The record is from RNAcentral.